AAUUUUGGACAAUGGGCGCAAGCCUGAUCCAGCCAUGCCGCGUGAGUGAAGAAGGCCUUCGGGUUGUAAAGCUCUUUCGGACGGAAAGAAAUCGCGCAGGCUAAUACCCUGCGCGGAUGACGGUACCGUCAUAAGAAUCACCGGCUAACUACGUGCCAGCAGCCGCGGUAAUACGUACGGCGCGAGCGUUAAUCGGAAUUACCGGGCGUAAAGCGGGCGCAGGCGGUUAAAUAAAACAGGCGUGAAAUCCCCGGGGUUAAACUUGGAACUGCGGUUGUGGAUGGGCAGCUAGGAUACGGCAAAGGGGGGUGGAAUUCCACGUGUAGCAGGGAAAUGCGUAGAGAUGUGGAGGAAAACCGAUGGCGAAGGCAGCCCCCUGGGCCGAUACUGACGCUCAUGCACGAAAGCGUGGGUAGCAAACAGG
RNAcentral lists this ribosomal RNA (424 nucleotides) under uncultured bacterium. RNAcentral's name for it is "partial 16S ribosomal RNA". It matches the Rfam family "Bacterial small subunit ribosomal RNA", at positions 360 to 776 of the family's 1533-position model. The record is from RNAcentral.